RNAcentral lists this ribosomal RNA (253 nucleotides) under uncultured bacterium. RNAcentral describes it as "partial 16S ribosomal RNA". It matches the Rfam family "Bacterial small subunit ribosomal RNA", at positions 524 to 776 of the family's 1533-position model. The record is from RNAcentral.
UACGGAGGGGGCUAGCGUUGUUCGGAAUUACUGGGCGUAAAGCGCACGUAGGCGGCUUUGUAAGUUAGAGGUGAAAGCCCGGGGCUCAACUCCAGAACUGCCUUUGAUACUGGAGAGCUUGAGUCCGGGAGAGGUGAGUGGAACUCCGAGUGUAGAGGUGAAAUUCGUAGAUAUUCGGAAGAACACCAGUGGCGAAGGCGGAUCACUGGCCCGGUACUGACGCUGAUGUGCGAAAGCGUGGGGAGCAAACAGG